UAAACUAGGAUUAGAUACCCUAUUAUUUUAAAUGUUAAUUUGAAAUACUAAAUUAUUAAUAGUUAAGUUCUUUAAAAUUAAAAAAUUUGGCGGUAUUUUAGUCUUUUCAGAGGAACCUGUCCUGUAAUUGAUAGUCCACGAUUAUGUAUACUUAUAUUGUUAAUUUACAUAUCGUCGUAGUUAGAAUAUUUUAAUAGAAUUAUAAUAUUCAAGAUUUUUUAUUAAAAAAUAAAUCAGAUCAAGGUGUAGUUUAUAUAUAAGAAGAGAUGGGUUACAUUAAAUUAAUUUUUAGAAUAAAUUUUUUAAAAGAAUUUUGAAUUUGGAUUUGAAAGUAAUUUUUAUGGAUUUACUAAAAAUGAUUAUAGCUCUAAAAUAUGUACACAUCGCCCGUCGCUCUUAA
Molecule: ribosomal RNA, 400 nt
Filed under: Bruchidius watamuensis
Lineage: Eukaryota; Metazoa; Arthropoda; Insecta; Coleoptera; Chrysomelidae
Description: partial 12S ribosomal RNA
Source: RNAcentral